RNAcentral lists this long non-coding RNA (211 nucleotides) under Brachypodium distachyon (stiff brome). Its description in RNAcentral is "long non-coding RNA (BDIS_LNC001875)". Lineage: Eukaryota; Viridiplantae; Streptophyta; Magnoliopsida; Poales; Poaceae. The record is from RNAcentral.
AGGCCGGAAAUAAAUCCCACCGAUCCGCCUUUGGGCCGGCCCACGGAGAGAUUACAUUUUUAUUUUAUUUUAUCUUUUUUUUUCAGAACACAGAAGAGUUUUGUCUGCUAUUCCCAUUAAGAAGGAACAUCAGAGUCAUACAAUGAUGCAAAAACAUGCAAGAGAAUGAUGCUUAAGCGGUCGACACUCCACAAACACUUGCUGGAGCGAG